CCUACGGGAGGCAGCAGUGGGGAAUCUUGCACAAUGGGGGAAACCCUGAUGCAGCGACGCCGCGUGAGUGAAGAAGUAUUUCGGUAUGUAAAGCUCUAUCAGCAGGGAAGAAAAUGACGGUACCUGAUUAAGAAGCCCCGGCUAACUACGUGCCAGCAGCCGCGGGAAUACGUAGGGGGCAAGCGUUAUCCGGAUUUACUGGGUGUAAAGGGAGCGUAGACGGCAGCACAAGUCUGGAGUGAAAUGCCGGGGGUUAACCCCGGAACUGCUUUGGAAACUGGGCAGCUAGAGUGCAGGAGAGGUAAGUGGAAUUCCUAGUGUAGCGGUGAAAUGCGUAGAUAGUAGGAGGAACACCAGUGGCGAAGGCGGCUUACUGGACUGUAACUGACGUUGAGGCUCGAAAGCGUGGGGAGCAAACAGGAUUAGAUACCCGUGUAGUC
This 440-nucleotide ribosomal RNA is filed under the name uncultured bacterium. Its description in RNAcentral is "partial 16S ribosomal RNA". It matches the Rfam family "Bacterial small subunit ribosomal RNA", at positions 338 to 795 of the family's 1533-position model. The record is from RNAcentral.